This 823-nucleotide ribosomal RNA is filed under the name Aquipseudomonas alcaligenes. RNAcentral describes it as "Pseudomonas alcaligenes partial 23S ribosomal RNA". It matches the Rfam family "Bacterial large subunit ribosomal RNA", at positions 912 to 1730 of the family's 2925-position model. Lineage: Bacteria; Pseudomonadati; Pseudomonadota; Gammaproteobacteria; Pseudomonadales; Pseudomonadaceae. The record is from RNAcentral.
GUUUCGGCUAGGGGGUCNUCCCGACUUACCAAACCGAUGCAAACUCCGAAUACCUACAAGUGNCCGAGCAUGGGNNAGACACACGGCGGGUGCUAACGUCCGUCGUGAAAAGGGAAACAACCCAGANCCGUCAGCUAAGGUCCCAAAGUUAUGGUUAAGUGGGAAACGAUGUGGGAAGGCUUAGACAGCUAGGAGGUUGGCUUAGAAGCAGCCACCCUUUAAAGAAAGCGUAAUAGCUCACUAGUCGAGUCGGCCUGCGCGGAAGAUGUAACGGGGCUCAAACCAUACACCGAAGCUACGGGUAUCACGUAAGUGAUGCGGUAGAGGAGCGUUCUGUAAGCCUGUGAAGGUGAGUUGAGAAGCUUGCUGGAGGUAUCAGAAGUGCGAAUGCUGACAUGAGUAACGACAAUGCGAGUGAAAAACUCGCACGCCGAAAGACCAAGGUUUCCUGCGCAACGUUAAUCGACGCAGGGUUAGUCGGCCCCUAAGGCGAGGCAGAAAUGCGUAGUCGAUGGGAAGCAGGUUAAUAUUCCUGCACUUCUAGUUACUGCGAUGGGGGGACGGAGAAGGCUAGGCCAGCACGGCGUUGGUUGUCCGUGUUUAAGGUGGUAGGCAGAGAUCUUAGGUAAAUCCGGGGUCUUAAUGCCGAGAACUGAUGACGAGUGUCCUUUUGGACAUGAAGUGGUUGAUGCCAUGCUUCCAGGAAAAGCCUCUAAGCUUCAGGUAACUAGGAACCGUACCCCAAACCGACACAGGUGGUUGGGUAGAGAAUACCAAGGCGCUUGAGAGAACUCGGGUGAAGGAACUAGGCAAAAUGGCACCG